Molecule: ribosomal RNA, 251 nt
Filed under: uncultured prokaryote
Description: partial 16S rRNA
Rfam family: Bacterial small subunit ribosomal RNA
Source: RNAcentral
ACGUAGGGGGCGAGCGUUGUCCAGAAUUACUGGGCGUAAAGCGCACGUAGGCGGGCUGUCAAGUCGGCCGUGAAAGGCACUGGCUCAACCGGUGUUUGUCGGCCGAUACUGGCGGUCUGGAGUAUGGGAGAGGGAGCUGGAAUUCCCGGUGUAGCGGUGAAAUGCGUAGAUAUCGGGAAGAACACCAAUGGCGAAGGCGGGUUCCUGGACGAGAACUGACGCUGAGGUGCGAAAGCCGGGGGAGCGAACGG